CAAAACGGAGGAAAAGAAACCAACAGGGAUUGCCCUAGUAACGGCGAGUGAAGCGGCAACAGCUCAAAUUUGAAAUCUGGCUCUCGGGCCCGAGUUGUAAUUUGUAGAGGAUACUUUUGAUGCGGUGCCUUCCGAGUUCCCUGGAACGGGACGCCAUAGAGGGUGAGAGCCCCGUCUGGUUGGAUGCCAAAUCUCUGUAAAGUUCCUUCAACGAGUCGAGUAGUUUGGGAAUGCUGCUCUAAAUGGGAGGUAUAUGUCUUCUAAAGCUAAAUACCGGCCAGAGACCGAUAGCGCACAAGUAGAGUGAUCGAAAGAUGAAAAGCACUUUGAAAAGAGAGUUAAAAAGUACGUGAAAUUGUUGAAAGGGAAGCGUUUAUGACCAGACUUGGGCUUGGUUAAUCAUCUGGGGUUCUCCCCAGUGCACUUUUCCAGUCCAGGCCAGCAUCAGUUUUCCCCGGGGGAUAAAGGCGGCGGGAAUGUGGCUCUCUUCGGGGAGUGUUAUAGCCCACCGUGUAAUACCCUGGGGGGGACUGAGGUUCGCGCAUCUGCAAGGAUGCUGGCGUAAUGGUCAUCAACGACCCGUCUUGACA
This 590-nucleotide ribosomal RNA is filed under the name Fusarium oxysporum. RNAcentral's name for it is "eukaryotic LSU rRNA". It matches the Rfam family "Eukaryotic large subunit ribosomal RNA", at positions 46 to 659 of the family's 3401-position model. Lineage: Eukaryota; Fungi; Ascomycota; Sordariomycetes; Hypocreales; Nectriaceae. The record is from RNAcentral.